GAGCUAUUUUAGCUUCCUAUGUGGACACUUUUAGUGAUUUCUGAAUUUUUUUGUACUCCCCACCAGCCCACCCAAGAAAUGCAAAAUACUGUAGAACAAGACUGUACCACUAGAUUGAGCCUUACAGGGUGGAAAAAGUUGCCUUGUAAUUGUUACAAUAAUUCAUCCUACACAGAUAAUCAUACAACGCAGAUUGCAAUAGUCCUUCUGAAGCUGAAGCUGUCAAAACCAGCACAGAACUGCCAAGCUGCUCUUACCGCUCUCUAUUACCGCAAGUAAGCUACAAAAGGGCUCUAGAAGCUACUAUCAUGGAUCACACAGUGCCUGCUUCUGGCAAACAGCAAACCACCAGUGCUUGCAUGUAAAUACAAGUGUGCAGAAAUCUGGCGACACAGCAAUAUGCCCAUCCAUGUGUGUGCAUCCUUUGGAAAUAGUUGAGAGCCCAGAGGCUGAUCAAAAGCAGAAACUCUAGAAUAAAUUUCCUAUUUUGUCUCCAG
Molecule: long non-coding RNA, 497 nt
Organism: Podarcis raffonei (Aeolian wall lizard)
Lineage: Eukaryota; Metazoa; Chordata; Lepidosauria; Squamata; Lacertidae
Exons: 2
Source: RefSeq, a predicted model, not a curated record